UCUGCGACGUCGGCUUAUAAACUAUCACUGCGCGUAAAAAGCAGUGGCUUGGAAGAUUGCCAGCUAACGCAGGCCGUGUAGUNUAAGGUGGUGGCGGCGGCGGCGGCGGCUAGACAGCGAUGGCUUCUUCUUAAUGUGGCUUAGACGGCGGCGGCGGCGGCGGCGAUGACGCUGUUGUCAUGACAGCAGCACCGCUUGCCACCAGAUGAUGCUUUUUGUUUUCCUUCCACCACCACCACCACCAAAUGUUGUGGAGUGCUGUUGAUGGUGUCAGUGGUGGAGCGCCGCUUGUCUUGGCAACAAUGAGUCCACAAGCCGUGGGUUAUUGUUUGUGCGUGCACGUAAUGUGGGCUCUAGACGGCAGGUAGGCGUGCGACGUGAUGUUGUUGGUCGUCGUCGUUGUUGGUGCUGCUGCUGCUGCUGCUGCAGCUGCUUUGAUGUGGCCUAAUGUGUGCCUGACCUCGGUUCAGUCGUAG
This 476-nucleotide ribosomal RNA is filed under the name Mesocestoides sp. A KP-2005. RNAcentral describes it as "partial ribosomal RNA". Lineage: Eukaryota; Metazoa; Platyhelminthes; Cestoda; Cyclophyllidea; Mesocestoididae. The record is from RNAcentral.